Homo sapiens (human) is the source of this 2851-nucleotide long non-coding RNA. The record is from Ensembl. Lineage: Eukaryota; Metazoa; Chordata; Mammalia; Primates; Hominidae.
GGAGGCGGGGCCGUCACGUGGGGCAGCGUGGGCCGCUGCCUUGGAAACGCAGAGCGCGCGCUCCAGGUAAAGGCUGCUACGCCCAGGACAGGGUUCUCACGGUGGAGGAAAGGACUUCUGCGGGAUACCACGCUGUGCGCCAAAAAGCCGGGCGGCUUCGGAGCCAGAGCAGCGGCUCUGCGGCGCAGGCGGCGGGUCGGGGCAGCCUUGAAGCCGGGAUCCGGCCCGAAGGGGUCUUUUUGGAGUUCCUGAGCUCAGUGCCCCAGAAGGCACAUACUUCAUAUGAAAUAUGAAGGAUUUCAUACUGCACAAGAAAAAGCCUUGAGAAAGACAGAAUUGCUUGUGGACCGUGCGUGUUCCACCCCACCUGGGCCCCAGACCGUGCUGAUCCUUGAUGAGCUCUCGGAUUCCUUGUGCAGAGUGACCGACUUGUUUCGAAAUGACCAGGCUGGCAGUUGGCUGAGCCAGUCUCUUAGAACCCUUUGAAGCACUGGAUGCAGGCUGAUGAGCUGCCAUAAACGUCUUUGAGUCCCAACACUGCUCAGGAACUGCAUAUCAUACCAAAGUCUGCCUGUGUGAUCCUUUAAUUUGUGAAUGUAAAAACUGAGGUGGGAGGCAAAUACUGAUGUUCUCAAAGACCCGUCUCAGCUAUUCCAUUCAAACAGAGCCCAGAAUCUUCAAAAUUCUGCUUCUUCAGCUUACCUCCUGUCUCAGGCUGGUUCCCCAGAAGCAUCCCAGAGAUGCAGAUUUGUGAGAAAGUGAUGUGUUGGGCAGUGUCCCCUGCAGGGAAGUGAGGAUGCAAGACAGUGAGAAGGAAGCCAAGCAAGAGUGCAAUGUCAAGCAAGGUCCCGUGCUUGCAGGGCACUGGCUCCUCCCACAGAGGAGAUUUGGAGACUGAGAGCCCCUCCCUCCAUUGGUCAAGGGCCAUCUCAGAGGGAUGCAUGUUUCUAGGUAUCCCCCACUCUCUCUGCACACAGGUAAAGGAGACUCCAGAAGCAUGAGGGCAGCCCUCUCACAAAGAAGCAUGGGUUCUGGAUACCGAGAGUAAAAGCAAACGUGGAGCCAAGGGGUGUGAAAAUGGGAAAGGGACCCAAGGAAAUAGAGUAGUGCAUCCACCAUGAGUAAGUGCCACAGUCACUGGGUCAGCACCUGCUGUGUCCAACACCAUGCUAAGUAUCGUGGAGAGGAGAGAAGUUACUAGACUUCCCUGCUGUCAUCCUUAAUGGACUAUUGUCUCUUCCCUAGACACCUCAAACUGGGAUUUAAGGUACAUAAGCUCUCAGAAAUGGCUUCCUGGAAUUAUGGCCAUGAACAUCAGUGAACUGUUAGGGUCCGUAGUUACAUCUGGAAAAUGACUGCCGUUUCAAUACACAGGAUUAGUUACAAUAACAGCAACAGCCAUAAUAAUAAUGUGGCAGAGACUAGCUUGAUGCUCAUCACAUCUCUACCUGGGCACAUAGCAAAGUUUUCUAUUCCAGCUCCCACCCUGGAUCUCGGGUCCUAGUUCUCAACAACGAAAUGCUUCCAAGCCAAGUUAAAGCAGCCACAACUUUCAAACGAAAACCUAAAGAUCCUGUGUUGAAGACAGUGGCACCUUAAAAUGCAAGGGCAGUAUCCUUGAGUCCUCAGGUCACCAGAAAGCCACCCGAUCAGGACCAUCGACACUAGACUCUGUGUUAGUGAGAAACAAACUUGUGUUAAGCCAUCAUGAUUUUAAAGUUGUUAGCAGUCAGCUUGCUCCAAUAGGAUGAACACUAAUAAACAUAGCGGUAACAACCUGCUGGGUAGUAUCAUUAUUCUCACUUUGUUGGUGAGGAACUUGAGGCCCAAAAUGGUCAGAAAGUUAGCAGAUGGCAGAGCUGGUAUUUCAAGUCUAUUUUUUAAUCCCUAUCUUGCACUCCUUGGUCACGUAAACCUUGUGUGAAUAUGUUUGAUGCUUUAAUGGAGCAAAGAGGAGAAUAUUAAAAUACCAGGUUUCUUGGGUGGGAUGUGGAGUGAGGAGGAAGAACACAAAACGGAAAGGCUCCACGCAUCAGAAGCCAAGCUUUGGGCACUCCACAGUUUUGCUAAAGACUUCCCUGUCUGCUCACAUCUGGUCUGUUCCCCAGUAUCCUCACUGUAUUAAAGUUGUUUCUUUGUCAUAUUUUGCUCUUUUUUCUGGUGUGAUUCUAUCAAUUACUUGCUACCAAGGAGAAGAAAUGAGAUGAUCAAAGGGGCAUCCCCCAAAUCCCCAAGGCUGUGCCCCUCAAGUUCAAGAAGAGAAAGCAGAGAACUCUUGUUUAACAUGGACGUGUUAGUCGCUGUCCCCUCUGCCAUCCCCCAACUUCGUUGUUCAUAGAACUCUGAUUUUGUUCAUCUUAUUCCAAGUUACCAAGUCCUUUAGGGAAGGCUAGGCUGCCCUCUUACCCAGGACUGAGAGUUCAUGGUUGAAGCUAGAGAGGACGGAGUGAUUUCCCCUGCUAAACAAUUGGUUCAGGCAUGUGACGCAAUUGGGCCAAUGGAGCUAAAAAAGGAAAUCUGCUGAUGGGGCUUCUGGGAAGGUUUCUCUUGGAAAAAAAAAGAAAAAGCCACAAGAUAAAAAUGUUUGCUUUUCUGCCUCUGGACUUGGGCUCUGUGUGUUGUUCCUGGAACCAAAGCACCUUGGGUCCAUUAAGACAGCAGCCUAUGAGGAUAAACCAGAACACUGGGGAUGGCAGGGUAGAAACAUCGAAAUAACCUGGAUCUUUAAGACACUGGUGAGCUGGUGAAUUAAUCAACCCUGGAACUGCCAUCCCCCCGGACUUCUUCUUAUGUGAGAUAACAAACCAUCUAAUUGUUCCAAUUAUGAUGAAUUAGGGUUUCUAUUACUUGC